AUGGGCAGGAUAGGGAGGUGAUUACUAAUAUACUUAAUACAAAAAUAAUCAGCCUAGACUGCAUCCAUAAUAAGCUGUGUCAUAAAAUCUACUCUUUGGGUUUGCUUUUAAUAAUUCUAAUCCACGUGAGAGUAGACUUUGAAACAUCAGACUGUAUCCACCAAAUGACUAAAAGAUAGGUUAAGACAAACUUUUAAAAUUUUUGCCUCUUUUAGAGGAGCGGGUGCCUUAUAGGUGAAACACUUAUGGCCUGUGUUUGAAAACUAUUUCUAAUUAAAGUGAUAGACUUAGUGAACAAUUUGGGGACAUGAUUAUCCUCUAGAAAGUAAAAAUCUAGGUUCAGAAUAUCAACUGGACCUUUGUAUAUAUAUAAUAGAAGCAAUAUUAUAUUAAUAAUAUAUAAUAUAAAAAUGUUAUAUAUAAUAUAAAUAAUUACAAGGCACUUAAAGAAUGCUCAGCUUGUUCCAGGAUAUUUUUUUCUUAGCGGGUGGUGUACAAACAAGAGAUAGAAUGACAGAUGCCAUAUAUAUGUUUUACAAAAACACCUCUUGCUUGUGCAUGUGUAAGCAGAGUCAGGUUUGACAAAAUGCAAAGAGAUGUCUUACAGAUGGCGCAUGUGAGGAGGACAGUCUUCUCAAGCUGAUGAGGCUGUAAAAGCAGUUGUCAUGAGUAUGUGCAAGUCCGCCACACCUGUUCUUCGAGGGAAUUCCCACCGAUGAGAAGACAGAAGUUCAAAAUAUGGAAGAGAGAUGACCACAGUCACAAAUCCGAAGUUCAUCUUUAGGAAGCACCUUCUACCAAAUGGAAAGCUGGCAAGAAGUAAUGCUUGAGAUUGCUGACACUGAAACAACCAGAGCGUACUUAAAAUUGAAAAAACAUUUCCCCCUAUUAUUUGUUUGGAUAUAUCUCAAAGAACCCCAAACAGAAAAGCAAUAUUUAAAUUUGAUUUUGUCCAAAACAUUCUUGCAAUUCUAAUACCCUACCUACUCUGUG
This is a long non-coding RNA of Dama dama (fallow deer), 993 nucleotides long. RefSeq lists it as uncharacterized. The record is from RefSeq and is a predicted model, not a curated record. NCBI's taxonomy places the organism in Eukaryota, Metazoa, Chordata, Mammalia, Artiodactyla, Cervidae. The transcript is spliced from 3 exons.